GCGGACGUGGCGAAACCGGUAGACGCAGCAGACUUAAAAUCUGCUUCCCUUGAUGGGAGUGCGGGUUCGAGUCCCGCCGUCCGCACCA
Molecule: transfer RNA, 88 nt
Filed under: Polymorphobacter sp.
Lineage: Bacteria; Pseudomonadati; Pseudomonadota; Alphaproteobacteria; Sphingomonadales; Sphingosinicellaceae
Also listed under: 1 other name
Description: tRNA-Leu
Rfam family: tRNA
About the family: Transfer RNA (tRNA) molecules are approximately 80 nucleotides in length.
Source: RNAcentral